This 2397-nucleotide ribosomal RNA is filed under the name human gut metagenome. RNAcentral's name for it is "bacterial LSU rRNA". It matches the Rfam family "Bacterial large subunit ribosomal RNA", at positions 1 to 2451 of the family's 2925-position model. The record is from RNAcentral.
ACAAGCGACUAAGUGCACAUGGUGGAUGCCUUGGCGAUUACAGGCGAUGAAGGACGUAGAAGCUUGCGAUAAGCUGCGGGGAGUUGGCAAACAAACAUUGAUCCGCAGAUUUCCGAAUGGGGAAACCCGGCCUUAGGGUCAUCAAUAACUGAAUUCAUAGGUUAUUGAAGCGAACGUAGUGAACUGAAACAUCUAAGUAACUACAGGAAAAGAAAUCAACCGAGAUUCCCAAAGUAGUGGCGAGCGAAAUGGGAAGAGCCUGCAAGAGAUAGUGAGACGAGAUAGUGGAACAUUCUGGAAAGGAUGGCGACACAGGGUGAUAGCCCCGUACACGAAAUCCGACUUACAGGACUGGGCUUGCGACAAGUAGGGCGGGACACGUGGAAUCCUGUCUGAAGAUGGGGGGACCAUCCUCCAAGGCUAAAUACUCGUAAUCGACCGAUAGUGAACCAGUACCGUGAGGGAAAGGCGAAAAGAACCCCGGGAGGGGAGUGAAACAGAACCUGAAACCGUGUGCAUACAAACAGUAGGAGCCCGUGCUUGCAUGGGUGACUGCGUACCUUUUGUAUAAUGGGUCAGCGACUUACAUUCAGUGGCGAGGUUAACCGAAUAGGGGAGCCGAAGAGAAAUCGAGUCCGAACAGGGCGCCAGUCGCUGGGUGUAGACCCGAAACCAAGUGAUCUACUCAUGGCCAGGAUGAAGGUGCGGUAACACGCACUGGAGGUCCGAACCCACUAACGUUGAAAAGUUAGGGGAUGAGCUGUGGGUAGGGGUGAAAGGCUAAACAAACUUGGAGAUAGCUGGUUCUCUCCGAAAGCUAUUUAGGUAGUGCCUCAGGUAUCACCGCUAGGGGUAGAGCACUGUUAUGGCUAGGGGGUCAUCGCGACUUACCAAACCAUUGCAAACUCCGAAUACUAGUGAGUGCGAGCCUGGGAGACAGACACCGGGUGCUAACGUCCGAUGUCAAGAGGGAAACAACCCAGACCGCCAGCUAAGGUCCCAAAGAUUGGCUAAGUGGAAAACGAAGUGGGAAGGCUAAAACAGUCAGGAGGUUGGCUUAGAAGCAGCCAUCCUUUAAAGAAAGCGUAAUAGCUCACUGAUCGAGUCGUCCUGCGCGGAAGAUGUAACGGGGCUAAGCCAGUCACCGAAGCUGCGGAUAUCCGCAAGGAUAUGGUAGGAGAGCGUUCUGUAAGCCUGAGAAGGUGUGUUGAGAAGCAUGCUGGAGGUAUCAGAAGUGCGAAUGCUGACAUGAGUAGCGAUAAUGGAGGUGAAAGGCCUCCACGCCGUAAGCCCAAGGUUUCCUGUUCAACGUUCAUCGGAGCAGGGUGAGUCGGCCCCUAAGGCGAGGCAGAGAUGCGUAGCUGAUGGGAAGCAGGUUAAUAUUCCUGCACCGUCGUUAGAUGCGAUGGGGGGACGGAUUGCGGAAAGUCAUCCGGGUGUUGGAAGUCCCGGUUCUUGAUUCGAAGGAGGCUGCUAGGCAAAUCCGGCAGCGUAAUCCAAGGGGUUGAGACGAGUGGCCUUGUGCCGCGAAGUGAUUGGAAGUGGUUCCAAGAAAAGCCUCUAAGCUUCAGUCUAACGAGACCGUACCGCAAACCGACACAGGUGGGCGAGAUGAGUAUUCUAAGGCGCUUGAGAGAACUCGGGAGAAGGAACUCGGCAAAUUGGUACCGUAACUUCGGGAUAAGGUACGCCCUUGUAGCUUGACUGGCCUGCGCCAGGAGGGUGAAGGGGUUGCAAUAAAAAGGUGGCUGCGACUGUUUAAUAAAAACACAGCACUCUGCAAACACGAAAGUGGACGUAUAGGGUGUGACGCCUGCCCGGUGCUGGAAGAUUAAAUGAUGGGGUGAGAGCUCUUGAUUGAAGUCCCAGUAAACGGCGGCCGUAACUAUAACGGUCCUAAGGUAGCGAAAUUCCUUGUCGGGUAAGUUCCGACCUGCACGAAUGGCGUAACGAUGGCCACACUGUCUCCUCCCGAGACUCAGCGAAGUUGAAGUGUUUGUGAUGAUGCAAUCUACCCGCGGCUAGACGGAAAGACCCCAUGAACCUUUACUGUAGCUUUACAUUGGACUUUGAACCAAUCUGUGUAGGAUAGGUGGGAGGCUUUGAAGCGUGGACGCUAGUUUGCGUGGAGCCGACCUUGAAAUACCACCCUGGUUUGUUUGAGGUUCUAACCUUGGCCCGUUAUCCGGGUUGGGGACAGUGUAUGGUAGGCAGUUUGACUGGGGCGGUCUCCUCCUAAAGGGUAACGGAGGAGUUCGAAGGUACGCUAGGUACGGUCGGACAUCGUGCUGAUAGUGCAAUGGCAUAAGCGUGCUUAACUGCGAGACCGACAAGUCGAGCAGGUACGAAAGUAGGACAUAGUGAUCCGGUGGUUCUGAAUGGAAGGGCCAUCGCUCA